AUUGAACGCUGGCGGCAGGCCUAACACAUGCAAGUCGAACGGUAACAGGAAACAGCUUGCUGUUUCGCUGACGAGUGGCGGACGGGUGAGUAAUGUCUGGGAAACUGCCUGAUGGAGGGGGAUAACUACUGGAAACGGUAGCUAAUACCGCAUAACGUCGCAAGACCAAAGAGGGGGACCUUCGGGCCUCUUGCCAUCGGAUGUGCCCAGAUGGGAUUAGCUAGUAGGUGGGGUAACGGCUCACCUAGGCGACGAUCCCUAGCUGGUCUGAGAGGAUGACCAGCCACACUGGAACUGAGACACGGUCCAGACUCCUACGGGAGGCAGCAGUGGGGAAUAUUGCACAAUGGGCGCAAGCCUGAUGCAGCCAUGCCGCGUGUAUGAAGAAGGCCUUCGGGUUGUAAAGUACUUUCAGCGGGGAUGAAGGGAGUAAAGUUAAUACCUUUGCUCAUUGACGUUACCCGCAGAAGAAGCGCCGGCUAACUCCGUG
Molecule: ribosomal RNA, 490 nt
Filed under: uncultured bacterium
Lineage: Bacteria
Description: partial 16S ribosomal RNA
Rfam family: Bacterial small subunit ribosomal RNA
Source: RNAcentral